Molecule: ribosomal RNA, 508 nt
Filed under: uncultured bacterium
Lineage: Bacteria
Description: partial 16S ribosomal RNA
Rfam family: Bacterial small subunit ribosomal RNA
Source: RNAcentral
GACGAACGCUGGCGGCGCGCCUAACACAUGCAAGUCGAGCGAGAACCGGGCCUCCGGGCCCGGGGCCCGCGGCGAACGGGUGAGAAACACGUGGGCACCCUGCCCCCGGCCCUGGGAUCGCCGGGGGAAACCGGGAUAAAUCCGGAAAGGCCUCGGGAGCAUUCGGCCCCCGGAGGAAACGUGGUUACGGCAUCCGGCCGAGGAGGGGCCGGCGGCGGAUUAGCUUGUGGGUGGGGUAAUGGCCCACCAAGGCGACGAUCCGUAGCUGGUCUGAGAGGACGAUCAGCCACACUGGGACUGAGACACGGCCCAGACUCCUACGGGAGGCAGCAGUGGGGAAUCUUGCGCAAUGGGCGAAAGCCUGACGCAGCGACGCCGCGUGCGGGAAGAAGGCCUUCGGGUUGUAAACCGCUUUCAGGAGGGACGAAGCCACUCGGGCGAACAGCCCAGAGGGUGACGGUACCUCCAGAAGAAGCCCCGGCUAACUACGUGCCAGCAGCCGCCGUAA